UGUGGGAGCGAGCCUGCUCGCGAUAGCGUCGGUUCAGUUGAUACUUUGGUUAGCUGACACACCGUCAUCGCGAGCAGGCUCGCUCCCACA
Molecule: unclassified non-coding RNA, 90 nt
Filed under: Pseudomonas corrugata
Lineage: Bacteria; Pseudomonadati; Pseudomonadota; Gammaproteobacteria; Pseudomonadales; Pseudomonadaceae
Source: RNAcentral